Molecule: ribosomal RNA, 504 nt
Filed under: uncultured bacterium
Lineage: Bacteria
Description: partial 16S ribosomal RNA
Rfam family: Bacterial small subunit ribosomal RNA
Source: RNAcentral
GACGAACGCUGACGGCGUGCCUAAUACAUGCAAGUGGGACGCAAGGAAACACACUGUGCUUGCACACCGUGUUUUCUUGAGUCGCGAACGGGUGAGUAACGCGUAGGUAACCUGCCUAUUAGCGGGGGAUAACUAUUGGAAACGAUAGCUAAUACCGCAUAAUAUUAAUUAUUGCAUGAUAAUUGAUUGAAAGAUGCAAGCGCAUCACUAGUAGAUGGACCUGCGUUGUAUUAGCUAGUUGGUAAGGUAAGAGCUUACCAAGGCGACGAUACAUAGCCGACCUGAGAGGGUGAUCGGCCACACUGGGACUGAGACACGGCCCAGACUCCUACGGGAGGCAGCAGUAGGGAAUCUUCGGCAAUGGACGAAAGUCUGACCGAGCAACGCCGCGUGAGUGAAGAAGGUUUUCGGAUCGUAAAGCUCUGUUGUAAGUCAAGAACGUGUGUGAGAGUGGAAAGUUCACACAGUGACGGUAGCUUACCAGAAAGGGACGGCUAACUACGU